This 251-nucleotide ribosomal RNA is filed under the name uncultured prokaryote. Its description in RNAcentral is "partial 16S rRNA". It matches the Rfam family "Bacterial small subunit ribosomal RNA", at positions 525 to 775 of the family's 1533-position model. The record is from RNAcentral.
ACGGAGGAUGCAAGCGUUAUCCGGAUUUAUUGGGUUUAAAGGGUGCGUAGGCGGAUUUAUAAGUCAGCGGUGAAAUACUUCAGCUUAACUGAAGAGUUGCCGUUGAUACUGUCAGGCUUGAAUAUGGUUGAUGUGGGUGGAAUGUGUAAUGUAGCGGUGAAAUGCUUAGAUAUCACACAGAACACCGAUUGCGAAGGCAGCAUGCAAAGCCAUAAUUGACGCUGAUGCACGAAAGUGUGGGGAUCAAACAG